Molecule: ribosomal RNA, 467 nt
Filed under: uncultured bacterium
Lineage: Bacteria
Description: partial 16S ribosomal RNA
Rfam family: Bacterial small subunit ribosomal RNA
Source: RNAcentral
GAUGAACGCUGGCGGCGUGCUUAACACAUGCAAGUCGAACGGAAAGGCCCAAGCUUGCUUGGGUUCUCGAGUGGCGAACGGGUGAGUAACACGUGUGUGAUCUGCCCUGCACUUCGUGAUAAGCCUUGGAAACUGGGUCUAAUACCGGAUAGGACCACUUCUAGGACGUGGUGGUGGAAAGAUUGUUCGGUGUGGGAUGAGGUCGCGGCCUAUCAGCUUGUUGAUGGGGUAAUGGACUACCAAGGCGUCGGCGGGAAGCCGGCCAGAGAAGGUGUACGGCGGCAUAGAGUCUGAGGGGAGGCAGAAGCUGCGAAGCGAGGGAGAUGUGGGGAAGAUUGAAGGAGGAACGCAGGGCGGGUGAAGAAGGGCCGCGGGGGGGAUGACGGCGUUCUGAGUGAAGACUACUUUCGCAAGGAACGAUGCAUAUUGUGACGGUACCUGGAGAGAAAGCACCGGCUAACUACGUG